UGAGUAACACGUGGGCAACCUGCCUGUAAGACUGGGAUAACUUCGGGAAACCGAAGCUAAUACCGGAUAGGAUCUUCUCCUUCAUGGGAGAUGAUUGAAAGAUGGUUUCGGCUAUCACUUACAGAUGGGCCCGCGGUGCAUUAGCUAGUUGGUGAGGUAACGGCUCACCAAGGCAACGAUGCAUAGCCGACCUGAGAGGGUGAUCGGCCACACUGGGACUGAGACACGGCCCAGACUCCUACGGGAGGCAGCAGUAGGGAAUCUUCCGCAAUGGACGAAAGUCUGACGGAGCAACGCCGCGUGAGUGAUGAAGGCUUUCGGGUCGUAAAACUCUGUUGUUAGGGAAGAACAAGUACGAGAGUAACUGCUCGUACCUUGACGGUACCUAACCAGAAAGCCACGGCUAACUACGUGCCAGCAGCCGCGGUAAUACGUAGGUGGCAAGCGUUAUCCGGAAUUAUUGGGCGUAAAGCGCGCGCAGGCGGUUUCUUAAGUCUGAUGUGAAAGCCCACGGCUCAACCGUGGAGGGUCAUUGGAAACUGGGGAACUUGAGUGCAGAAGAGAAAAGCGGAAUUCCACGUGUAGCGGUGAAAUGCGUAGAGAUGUGGAGGAACACCAGUGGCGAAGGCGGCUUUUUGGUCUGUAACUGACGCUGAGGCGCGAAAGC
RNAcentral lists this ribosomal RNA (667 nucleotides) under uncultured bacterium. RNAcentral's name for it is "bacterial SSU rRNA". It matches the Rfam family "Bacterial small subunit ribosomal RNA", at positions 107 to 760 of the family's 1533-position model. The record is from RNAcentral.